ACGGAAGGCAGCAGUGGGGAAUAUUGGACAAUGGGGGAAACCCUGAUCCAGCGACGCCGCGUGAGUGAAGAAGUAUUUCGGUAUGUAAAGCUCUAUCAGCAAGGAAGAAAAUGACGGUACUUGACUAAGAAGCCCCGGCUAACUACGUGCCAGCAGCCGCGGUAAUACGUAGGGGGCAAGCGUUAUCCGGAUUUACUGGGUGUAAAGGGAGCGUAGACGGCAUAGCAAGUCUGAAGUGAAAUGCAUGGGCUCAACCCAUGAACUGCUUUGGAAACUGUUAAGCUAGAGUGCAGGAGAGGUAAGUGGAAUUCCUAGUGUAGCGGUGAAAUGCGUAGAUAUUAGGAGGAACACCAGUGGCGAAGGCGGCUUACUGGACGGUAACUGACGUUGAGGCUCGAAAGCGUGGGGAGCAAACAGGAUUAGAUACCCUGGUA
RNAcentral lists this ribosomal RNA (434 nucleotides) under uncultured Lachnospiraceae bacterium. RNAcentral describes it as "partial 16S ribosomal RNA". It matches the Rfam family "Bacterial small subunit ribosomal RNA", at positions 341 to 792 of the family's 1533-position model. The record is from RNAcentral. Lineage: Bacteria; Bacillati; Bacillota; Clostridia; Lachnospirales; Lachnospiraceae.